UUAACUUGUUUUUUUUAUAAAUCAGAACAUACAGUCCGCUGUGCAAAUAGAGUUUUGGCGCUGCCGGCGGGGACGGAGGGGCCGGCGGCACGGCCCGGUUAGGGGCGCGAGCACGACGUCCACACCGCCUCCCGCCGAGGCAACGCGGCAAGAGGUAAUGUUCACAAAGGGUUUUGAAGGGUAACUUCGGUAAUGAUCCCUCCGCUGGUUCACCAACGGAGA
Molecule: unclassified non-coding RNA, 222 nt
Filed under: uncultured fungus
Lineage: Eukaryota; Fungi
Description: sequence contains ITS1
Source: RNAcentral